GAUGAACGCUGGCGGCGUGCUUAACACAUGCAAGUCGAACGAUGAAGCCCAGCUUGCUGGGUGGAUUAGUGGCGAACGGGUGAGUAACACGUGAGUAACCUGCCCUUAACUCUGGGAUAAGCCUGGGAAACUGGGUCUAAUACCGGAUAGGAGCGUCCACCGCAUGGUGGGUGUUGGAAAGAUUUAUCGGUUUUGGAUGGACUCGCGGCCUAUCAGCUUGUUGGUGAGGUAAUGGCUCACCAAGGCGACGACGGGUAGCCGGCCUGAGAGGGUGACCGGCCACACUGGGACUGAGACACGGCCCAGACUCCUACGGGAGGCAGCAGUGGGGAAUAUUGCACAAUGGGCGCAAGCCUGAUGCAGCGACGCCGCGUGCGGGAUGACGGCCUUCGGGUUGUAAACCUCUUUCAGUAGGGAAGAAGCGAAAGUGACGGUACCUGCAGAAGAAGCACCGGCUAACUACGU
This 465-nucleotide ribosomal RNA is filed under the name uncultured bacterium. RNAcentral's name for it is "partial 16S ribosomal RNA". It matches the Rfam family "Bacterial small subunit ribosomal RNA", at positions 28 to 506 of the family's 1533-position model. The record is from RNAcentral.